CACAUGCACAAGUACGGGUGUGGGGACCCACAGCACAAGGGGGACAUCAGAAAGAGUGGGCUUCUCAUUUUAAGGUGUGGUCAAACAGUUUUGACUGUCUAAAAUUGUUUUCUAUUCAUUGCAAAUGAACUUGCUGUAAUGGUCUUGAAUUUACUAAUGAAAGAUAUGUGCCUGGUGCCCUCAACUCCUGAAGGGGCCUUGGAUCUUCUGGAACUGGAGUUACAGCUGUGAGCUUCUAUGUUGAUUCUGGCAAUCCAACACAGGUCUGCUGGUAAACAGUCAGAAAUGGGCACACAGGAGUCCUCAGCAUCCCAUCUGUGUACCUCUCCUUUCCCCUCUACAACAGAAGACAGGGCGACUUGGGAGGCUUAAGGACUGGACAGAAGGUCUAGUUACCACACGUCAACCGAUGAUCAACAGUAUUUGGUCAUGGGAUCUUUGGGAGCCAAGCUGUUCCUGAGAGGAUGGUUAUUCUCUCACAGGAAGAAACAAAGAAAUCCAAUGAGGAUGUUCUUCAUUUCUCCAAAGAGGAAACGGAGGCUUAGAGAAAUACUGUAAUUUCCUGGGAAGAAAGCUGGACACUGUACCUCACACAGCAGAAGGUCAAUGAUGUGGAACACCAUGCAGAGUGGAAACUUGGCAGUAAAGAGAGUGAGGAACCACUGGGAUGCAUACAUAUGAGCUUCCAGGUUCAGAUCACAGAAGUGGCUGUACAGGUCUGGCAGCUGUUCCUAAAAGCCAAAAGGAAAGGUUUAGGGGAAUGAUUACCAAGGAAGUUUUGUCACUUGCAACAACUAUAAUGUGCACCUGCAUGUCAGUGCACAGAGGUGAUGACAGGAGAUGGGGAUGGACAGAUGAGUGUGGACAGAAACGACUGGGUACAAUAGGAUUAUCCUUGCUAACAAGAGAGAGAGUUCCUGAUUCCUGGAAAAAUCUUGUUCUCUCAGAACACCUUCAUUCUAAUGACAAUUUUUAGUCUAAGGUAAGAGACAGGAUUCACGUCCUACCCACCUAGAAACAAAAUAUAUCUUCACACUCACAGACCAUAAUUUCAUUUGAACUUUUAAUAAACAUUAGAUCAUUUUAUUAUUUGACAGUUGUAAAUGUUGCAAAUUCUCAAACAUUAUCUGAGGUAUACAGUAUAGUUUUAGAAUAAUUUUGAGUACCCCGAAAACUCUAAAACAUGACCAGAUAUAAAAACCUAUCUGUGGACUAGAGAGAUGGCUAAAGAGCUCAGAGCUUUUGCUGAUCUUCCAGAGGACCUGAGUUUGGUUCCAUGCACCCAGAUCAGGUAGCUCGCAUCUACCAGGAAAGAAAUCGAUCUUUAAAUAUCCCAUCAUGAUCAUAUAAAAAAUGACAAAGUAAAACUGUACAAGAGUGCAAUACAAGAUAAAUAGUUCCUAACAAUGCUAUUUAUCUUGUAGAGUGUGUGUGUGUGUGUGGGGGGGGGGAGAGUGAGCAAGAGAGAAAGAGAGAGACAGAGACAGAGAUAGAGAGACAGAGAGACAACCAUUUUUAUAUCAAAUGCUCAUAUUGAAGAGGACUCAAAUGUAUCUAUUUGAUGGUUUAAAUGAGGUAUCAAAAUUGUUAUUGAGCCCAACUUGAUAUAUUAGAUAUAAAGGAAUACUAACUUUUGAAAAAAAAAAAACAACUAACUUUUAUAUCUGAAAAGUGAGAAAUAAUAAUAAAACAAAAUAAAUGUA
This 1703-nucleotide long non-coding RNA is filed under the name Mus pahari (shrew mouse). Its description in RNAcentral is "predicted gene, 36975 (MGP_PahariEiJ_G0003672.1)". The record is from RNAcentral. Lineage: Eukaryota; Metazoa; Chordata; Mammalia; Rodentia; Muridae.